GGGGGGGUUAGGAAGUGAGGUCCCUAGGGAGCUAGUAUGGAAUGGACAUGUGGUGUCCAGCUUGGCAUAUGCCAGCCACCUCGCCUGAUGGGCAGGAACCACCCUAGGGCUGCCUUAGGCAGUGUACCAUGCAACCACAAUAUCCACUUGUUGGCCAUCCAUGUUGGUGCCUAUGGGUGGCAAUGCUCUAAGGAUUAUACAUAAUAAUCUUACACACAAUGGUCACUAUAAAUAAUCUUAAAAGUGAGAGACUUAAUGUUCUGUGAAGCUUGCAUAAAACACAAUAUCAGUUUUACAGUAAAAUCAUUAUUAUUUGAGAGCUCUGACAUUGUGUGUGUGUGUGUGUGUCAGCCAUCCCCAAAUGCACUUGCAAACCAGCCAACAAGAUUAUGUUUGUUAGAUCUUGUAGACAGUAUUUUUAAUUUUUUUUUAAAACCUGUGGCUCCUAGGGCAGAG
Molecule: long non-coding RNA, 456 nt
Filed under: Physcomitrium patens
Lineage: Eukaryota; Viridiplantae; Streptophyta; Bryopsida; Funariales; Funariaceae
Description: long non-coding RNA (PPAT_LNC012575)
Source: RNAcentral